UACGAAGGGGACUAGCGUUGUUCGGAAUUACUGGGCGUAAAGCGCGCGUAGGCGGAUCGCUAAGUCAGGGGUGAAAUCCCAGGGCUCAACCCCUGGAACUGCCUUUGAUACUGACGAUCUGGAGAUCGGGAGAGGUGAGUGGGAAUUCCGAGUGUAGAGGUGAAAUUCGUAGAUAUUCGGAGGAACACCAGAAGCGAAGGCGGCUCACUGGCCCGAUACUGACGCUGAGGCGCGAAAGCGUGGGGAGCGAACAGG
RNAcentral lists this ribosomal RNA (255 nucleotides) under uncultured bacterium. Its description in RNAcentral is "partial 16S ribosomal RNA". It matches the Rfam family "Bacterial small subunit ribosomal RNA", at positions 524 to 776 of the family's 1533-position model. The record is from RNAcentral.